RNAcentral lists this ribosomal RNA (872 nucleotides) under uncultured archaeon. RNAcentral's name for it is "bacterial SSU rRNA". It matches the Rfam family "Archaeal small subunit ribosomal RNA", at positions 26 to 903 of the family's 1478-position model. The record is from RNAcentral.
ACUGCUAUCGGAUUGAUACUAAGCCAUGCGAGUCUUUGCAGUAAUGCAUGGCAUACGGCUCAGUAACACGUAGUCAACUUACCCUAUGGACGAGGAUAAUCUCGGGAAACUGAGCAUAAUACUCGAUAGAUCAUAAUGCCUGGAAUGGUUUAUGGUUGAAAUGAUUCGUCGCCAUAGGAUGGGACUGCGGCCUAUCAGCUUGUUGGUGAGGUAAUGGCCCACCAAGCCGAUUACAGGUACGGGCUUUGAGAGGGGAAGCCCGGAGAUGAACACUGAGAGAAGGGUCCGGGCCCUACGGGGCGCAGCAGGCGCGAAAACUUUGCAAUGUGCGGAAGCACGACAAGUUUAAUCCGAGUGCAACAUGCUGAAAUGUAGCUUUUGGUAAAUGUAAAUAGUUUAUUGAAUAAGGGGGAGGGAAGGUCUGGUGUCAGCCGCCGCGGUAAUACCAGCGCCCCAAGUGGUCGGGACGAUUAUUGGGCCUAAAGCAUCCGUAGCCGGCUCUGUAAGUUUUCGGUUAAAUCUAUAUGCUCAACGUAUAGGCCGCCGAAAAUACUGCAGUGCUAGGAAGUGGGAGAGGUAGACGGUACUCGGUAGGAAGGGGUAAAAUCCUUUGAUCUAUCGAUGACCACCUGUGGCGAAGGCGGUCUACCAGAACACGUUCGACGGUGAGGGAUGAAAGCUGGGGGAGCGAACCGGAUUAGAUACCCGGGUAGUCCCAGCUGUAAACGAUGCAGACUCGAUGAUGCAUUGGCAUAUAGGGAGUGCAGUGUCGCAGGGAAGCCGUUAAGUCUGCCGCCUGGGAAGUACGGACGCAAGUAUGAAACUUAAAGGAAUUGGCGGGGGAGCACCACAAGGGGUGAAGCCUGCGGUUC